This 468-nucleotide ribosomal RNA is filed under the name uncultured bacterium. Its description in RNAcentral is "partial 16S ribosomal RNA". It matches the Rfam family "Bacterial small subunit ribosomal RNA", at positions 28 to 507 of the family's 1533-position model. The record is from RNAcentral.
GACGAACGCUGGCGGCGUGCUUAACACAUGCAAGUCGAACGGAAAGGCCCUGCUUUUGUGGGGUGCUCGAGUGGCGAACGGGUGAGUAACACGUGAGUAACCUGCCCUUGACUUUGGGAUAACUUCAGGAAACUGGGGCUAAUACCGGAUAGGAGCUCCUGCUGCAUGGUGGGGGUUGGAAAGUUUCGGCGGUUGGGGAUGGACUCGCGGCUUAUCAGCUUGUUGGUGGGGUAGUGGCUUACCAAGGCUUUGACGGGUAGGCGGCCUGGGAGGGUGACCGGGCACAUUGGGACUGAGAGACGGAGCAGACUCCUACGGGACGCAGCAGUGGGGAAUAUUGCACAAUGGGCGGAAGCCUGAGGCAGCAACGCCGCGUGCGGGAUGACGGCCUUCGGGUUGUAAACCGCUUUCGCCUGUGACGAAGCGUGAGUGACGGUAAUGGGUAAAGAAGCACCGGCUAACUACGUG